GCAUGUUAUGUGGGAGGUUAUAGGUCGUGUUUCACCUGUUGAGAAAAAUGUGUAGCUUGUAAGGCCAUCGGUUCUAAUAUAGGGGCAGGUUAGGCAGUUUUUUCCGCAACGGAAAGCACCUGGAGGUUGGUUGGUAGGAGAGCGGUCGGAAGAUAGCUUGGCUUUAACAAGGAUGUCGCGGAGGAGGUGAGCGGCGAGAGGCGACAAGAGGGGGCUCAGUGAAAACCUUAUGGCAUCGCUUAGCAACCUACUAACAGACUCUCUCUUGGUCACACUCGACGUCUCAGCCUCGCUCCGUGUUCAGCCGAGCGGUACGCUCGAACAGAAUUAACAUCAACGUUUUAACGUGGCAGAGCGCAGCGACUGAACAACAAUAGAAACCUGCUUAAAAUGUAUUUACCAACAACGUGAACGCAAACAGUGAGCGUUCUUUUGAGAUGACGCUUGUGAAAAUAAAGAAACCUGAGAACU
Molecule: long non-coding RNA, 471 nt
Organism: Nematostella vectensis (starlet sea anemone)
Lineage: Eukaryota; Metazoa; Cnidaria; Anthozoa; Actiniaria; Edwardsiidae
Exons: 2
Source: RefSeq, a predicted model, not a curated record